Molecule: ribosomal RNA, 493 nt
Filed under: uncultured bacterium
Lineage: Bacteria
Description: partial 16S ribosomal RNA
Rfam family: Bacterial small subunit ribosomal RNA
Source: RNAcentral
AUUGAACGCUGGCGGCAUGCCUUACACAUGCAAGUCGAACGGUAACAGGUUAAGCUGACGAGUGGCGAACGGGUGAGUAGUAUAUCGGAACGUGCCCAGUCGUGGGGGAUAACGCAGCGAAAGCUACGCUAAUACCGCAUACGAUCUACGGAUGAAAGCGGGGGAUCGCAAGACCUCGCGCGAUUGGAGCGGCCGAUAUCAGAUUAGGUUGUUGGUGAGGUAAAAGCUCACCAAGCCUGCGAUCUGUAGCGGGUCUGAGAGGACGACCAGCCACACUGGAACUGAGACACGGUCCAGACUCCUACGGGGGGCAGCAGUGGGGAAGUUUGGACAAUGGACGCAAGUCUGAUCCAGCAAUGCCGCGUGCAGGACGAAGGCCUUCGGGUUGUAAACUGCUUUUGUACGGAACGAAACGGUGAGCUCUAAUACAGUUUGCUAAUGACGGUACCGUAAGAAUAAGCACCGGCUAACUACGUGCCAGCAGCCGCAGUAA